This is a long non-coding RNA of Acinonyx jubatus (cheetah), 2981 nucleotides long. RefSeq lists it as uncharacterized. The transcript has 4 exons. The record is from RefSeq and is a predicted model, not a curated record. NCBI's taxonomy places the organism in Eukaryota, Metazoa, Chordata, Mammalia, Carnivora, Felidae.
UGAACCAAGCUCGGCGCGUUCUCUCUUCCGCGGGCGCGAUUUUGGUCUCCUUUCCUCAGAGCAGCUUCCCUGGGAACACUGCUCCGCCCUCAAGAUGGCGGCCAGGUGGAACCUUCCACAGAGAGCGUGGGUCAGCCUCUCCACAGGAUUUGGUUUGGAACCUGAGCUAAGUCGCCCCGCUAGGCCCACAAGCAGCCUGCCGGUUCUCCGCAGCAGGAUCUGGCGGAGAGGCAGAGGUUGCUAACACUGUGUGCGGGGCGCGCCCCGCAGCUCCCUGGAUGCAACAAGGAGCACAAUGACGUCUCUUCUUUCAAUGGAAAUUAUUCUUCAAGGAAUUUCCAUUUUUCAACAUUAUUUCUCCAUAUGUUUCCUGGCUUCUCUUCAGAGCUCCUGACAUUCAUGCUGCUAGACUCCUCCUGACCAGGUAAAGAUUUAUUUGACCUGUCUUCCCUGCCCAAUACUAUCCUUUGAUUCAGGUAAGAGAGUUCUCUACAGUUGACCUAAGCUUUAGAGGGCUCCACUCUGGUCUUCCCAUGUGUGCCCUUUUUCCCAUCAGUUGAAGACUCUGUGGGAUCAAGGAGAUUUGCUUCCAGUUUGCCAUUUUCUUGUCCUCUGACCAUACUCUAGGUACCUUGUGGUAUAGAAUAUUCUGCUCAAAUGGUCAUAAGUUCUCUUCUCCUGAAGUUGAACCUCUAAAUUCAGUGGCCAGAGGAAAGUGUGGGUGUGGGUAAAGCUUGAAAAUGUGGUUUGGAACAUCCACAAAUGCGUAGCAAAGAAACAUUAUGGUGUGGUAGAGAGGGAAGUUAUGGAGAAGAAGUGGGUAUGGGAACUUGUGUGUGGGAAGGUUGAGAGCUGGAGACUAAAGCCAGGGUCUGACUCAGCAGACAACUGCUAUAUUCUCAGCAGGAACUCAGAGAUCCAACAAUUCUAAAUUCAGACCUGGCCUACCUCUUGUUAUGAAGAUGUACUUGGCAAAGUAAAAGGACAGAGCGUAUUUUACUUAACACUGGUUUUUAAUUUUUAAAUAUUUUGACAUAUAGUGCUAGCUUUGUCUGUUGUGGAUUGUGUACUUACAGAGAGAAAAGAACCUCUUUACCCUGUUUGCUGCUUUUCCUAGGUUAUGGUCCAUGCUGUAUAGUGAAGAUUUGCCUUAAAAAAAUUUAAACAAGUAAAACGUUCUAGAUUGGAAGUUAGAAAGACCAAGUUUCUGUUGUUAGUCGCUUCUAAAUUGCUAUUGGCCUUUAUACAAAUUAUUUGGUCUCUUGGCCGGUUGUAAUAUGUGAGAGUUUGAAUUUGAUUAUUGCUGAGGUAUAUUCCAGGUGUAAAGCUCAUUUACAAAGUUUUCAUUAACAUAAACUGAUGUGUAUUUAAAAAUAACAAUGAGAAAUAAAAGGUAGAGCAGAAAUACAUAAUUAUUGUAGCUAAGAGCAAAAGCAAUCAAAUUUAACACCUGAACGCCAAUCCUUACAAUACUCUGUACGUCUCCGCUACACCACUUAGCUUCUAAUUAUUUAUCUGAAGAAUCCCAGGAAGGAUGGUGCACCAUGCUUAGUAGUCUCAUUUUAUAGAUGAAGAUGAUGAGCAAGAGAAGAUUGGCUGUUAGCACCUUACCAGAAGAACAAAGGCUAGGUUUUCUGUAAAAACUUGGCUCUCCUAGGGACCCAUUGCAGACUGUGAACUGAAUUACUCCUCAUAGCUGGGACACGAGAGCUUGCAGGGGUGGGGUCUCCAUGAUGCUUUCUUUGCUUGUCCUUGCAUGAGUCACUUUGGAAGAUUGUUUGCCCAAAAGCCAAAGAAAUAUAAAUGGCAUCGUCAUCUUAAAAAAGACAUGCUCAAUACUUUUUCUCUGUUCUACUCAGCUGCAUGUUAACAUCUCCAUUUGUCCUUUUACUUGCUUGUUCCAAGAGAUACACACCUUUAAUAUGUUAGGUGUCUACAAUCAGCAGCUUAUAUAUUUCUUGGUGCAGUCAAUUUCUCUUUUAGUUGAUUUCUCUAUAACUGUUCUAGACCGGAAAUAAAUAAUAAUUUAUUUAUAGAAACACAAAGUUUUCUACUGUCAGCAAGGUGUCCAGGAUUAAUUUCCUUAGACCUAAACUACUCUUCAUCCUAUUUAUAGUCUUUUUUUUUUCUUUUUUUGUGUGUUAAAAUUGUCAAAACACAAAAUGCCAGAGUAUUAUUGAGUUCUGACAAUGACUGGUGUUACAUAUUUAAUGUGUUGAAAUUCAUAAGAAAUAUUUAUGAAUAUUUCUGAAUUGUCAAUUCAUUUUAAUUUCUCAUAAAUCUAUGUAUAGUCAUCUUAAACUAUUGCUAUCUUGAUAAAUUUGUAAUGCUGAGAAAAGAGGGUUUUUUUUAAUUUUUUUAAGUUUAUUUUGAGAGAGAGAAGGAGAGAGAAUGUGAGCAGGGAGGAGGCAGAGCAGAGGGAGCGGGAGAGAGAGAAUCCCAAGCAGGCUUCACGCUGUCGGUGCAGACCCUGACACAAGGCUCUAUCCCACAAACCGUGAGAUCAUGACCUAGGCUGAAAUCAAGAGUCAGAUACUUAACCAACUGAGCCACCCAGGUGCCCCUUAAGAGUUUUCAAUCCAGAUUUACACUUGAUUCUUAGCUGAGUGAAAGAAUGUUGCAUAAAGAUGCAUUUGAAAUCUUCAAGUAUGUUCAAGUAAAUAAAUAUUUCAAUCAAAUAAUAGAUACUGAAUUUUUACUAUAUAAAAUGUUAGCUAAACUGCAAAUAUGCACAAGCCAUGGCCUUAAAUUUAUGGAACUCCAAUAGAAAGUGCCUGACAGCCAUAUGAAUUAUCAUUUUUUUCCAAAGUUUAGAUACUGAUUAACAUGAUUUUCUAAACUUAUAACUGAAUACCCUUUAAUAUUUAUAUCUAUAAGAUUUCUCAUUUAAAUACAGUUACAAAUCAUUUAUACAAGAGAGCCAGAGAGGUAGAACAGAGAAAUAUUUAUUUAUAGGAAAAUAAAAAUUUAGAAUUCGAAGA